Molecule: ribosomal RNA, 464 nt
Filed under: uncultured Glomus
Lineage: Eukaryota; Fungi; Glomeromycota; Glomeromycetes; Glomerales; Glomeraceae
Description: SSU rRNA
Rfam family: Eukaryotic small subunit ribosomal RNA
Source: RNAcentral
CUCGUAGUUGAAUUUCGGGACCAUCAUGUCGGUCGUGCCUCGGUACGUACUGGCAUUGUUGGUUUCUCCCUUCUGACGAACCAUGAUGUCAUUAAUUUGGUGUCUUGGGAAUCAGGACUGUUACUUUGAAAAAUUAGAGUGUUUAAAGCAGGCUCACGCUUGAAUACAUUAGCAUGGAAUAAUGAAAUAGGACGUUUGAUUCUAUUUUGUUGGUUUCUAGGAUCGACGUAAUGAUUAAUAGGGAUAGUUGGGGGCAUUAGUAUUCAAUUGUCAGAGGUGAAAUUCUUGGAUUUAUUGAAGACUAACUACUGCGAAAGCAUUUGCCAAGGAUGUUUUCAUUAAUCAAGAACGAAAGUUAGGGGAUCGAAGACGAUCAGAUACCGUCGUAGUCUUAACCAUAAACUAUGCCGACUAGGGGAUCGGAUGAUGUUAAUUUUUUUAAUGACUCAUUCGGCGCCUUACGG